UCUCCGUUGGUGAACCAGCGGAGGGAUCAUUACAGAGUUGCAAAACUCCCAAACCAUCGUGAACAUACCCAAAUAUCGUUGCUUCGGUGGGCGGCGGCCCCCGGGGGUUAUCAACCCCGGGCGUCUGCCCCCCGGCCUCCCCCCCUUCGACGGGGCGGGGGGGUGCCCGCCGGAGGUCCUACAACCAUCGUAUCUUAUGUGGCCUCUCUGAGUUAUAGUGAAUGAAGUCAAAACUUUCAACAACGGAUCUCUUGGUUCUG
Molecule: unclassified non-coding RNA, 260 nt
Filed under: soil metagenome
Description: partial contains small subunit ribosomal RNA, internal transcribed spacer 1, and 5.8S ribosomal RNA
Source: RNAcentral